GUUGCGGUUAAAAAGCUCGUAGUUGGAUCUCGGCAAGUAGAGGGCGGUAUGCUUCGUAGCAUUACUGCCCUAUUACUUGUAGUUUUGCCAGAGGUUCCUGGGUGCUCUUAAUCGAGUGUCUAGGGAUGCUGGCAGGUUUACUUUGAAAAAAUUAGAGUGCUCAAAGCAGGCUAUUACGCUUGAAUAUUCGUGCAUGGAAUAAUAGAAUAGGAAGUUGUUUCUAUUUUGUUGGUUUUCGGAAAUCGACUUAAUGAUUAAUAGGGACAGUCGGGGGCAUUUGUAUUCAAACGACAGAGGUGAAAUUCUUGGACCGUUUGAAGACAAACUACUGCGAAAGCAUUUGCCAAGAAUGUUUUCAUUAAUCAAGAACGAAAGUUAGAGGUUCGAAGGCGAUUAGAUACCGCCCUAGUUCUAACCAUAAACGAUGCCAGCUAGCGAUCUGAGGACGUUUUUUUUGUAGACUCCUCAGGAAGCUUCCGGGAAACCAAAGCGUGUGGGUUCCGGGGGAAGUAUGGUUGCAAAGCUGAAACUUAAAGGAAUUGACGGAAGGGCACCACCAGGAGUGGAGCCUGCGGCUUAAUUUGACUCAACACGGGAAAUCUCACCAGGCCCGGACACUGGAAGGAUUGACA
Molecule: ribosomal RNA, 632 nt
Filed under: uncultured marine eukaryote
Lineage: Eukaryota
Description: SSU rRNA
Rfam family: Eukaryotic small subunit ribosomal RNA
Source: RNAcentral